Long non-coding RNA from Piliocolobus tephrosceles (Ugandan red Colobus), 1280 nucleotides. RefSeq lists it as uncharacterized. The transcript has 3 exons. NCBI's taxonomy places the organism in Eukaryota, Metazoa, Chordata, Mammalia, Primates, Cercopithecidae. The record is from RefSeq and is a predicted model, not a curated record.
CAGAAAGGAGCAGGAUCUCAGCUCUCGCCUUUUCAGGGUUCCGCCCCAUAUCUGAGAGCCGCUCUCUGAUUGGCUUGGGAAACCGUGUCUCAGCGCUUUGGCCUAGCGACUUUGAUGAAAGUGUUUGCGCCUGAGACCGAAGUGCAGAGGAGGGCGAGCACAGGCGGAGAGGAUUGGAGAAUCAGCGAUUCCUGAUUGGCCAGGCGUGUCUUGAGGGCGGGGCCAGAACUGCGUCCUUAAGUGACCUCGCACUUGCCCCGCUCACCCGCUCCGCAUUAUUCAGGGUUUACACCGCCUGACUCACUGCGCUAUGCGUUCCCUCACACCUGCCGGAUGCCAGGCGGCGGUGUGCCAGGCUCUGAGGGGCCGCGAGCUCACCCCAGACGCCAGCCCCGGGAAUCCUCUGCUCCUCCACUUUCCCUUCCCGCUGCUGCUUUCUUGCCCACCCACUCCCAGGUGCCACUCUUGGGGCAUCCAGAUGUUCUGGCAUUUGACCUGACUCCAGCCUAAGCGCGAGGACGGGAGAAAGGCCAAGGAACCCAAAUCCUCAGAACUGACCGAAAAGCGCGUGUUGUUGAAGUCGCUGAGGGGCAGACGCGGAAUGUGAGCCGUGGGGCGAAGGGACAGCUCCGGAGGCUCGAGAUUCCGGAACCCGGGUGAUCCAGAACAGACGAUGAAGAGACAGACUAGCGUGAAAGGGAGCAGCGAUCCCUACACUGACCUCCGGAGGGCAGCAUGAUCAAGGGAAGGAGCUGUUCACGCUCCGCUCAAACCCCCGCGCAGCCUCUGCGGCUUACUCCUGCUUCCCAAGGCGGCGAGGUUCCACCCCCACCACCGCCGGCCCCCGCCGCCCUCUUCGGGCUGAAGCUGCGGAGGGUCUUUUUCUUCAGCCCAAAAUCCUCUGCUCUGUGGUUUAAGAUUCCCAGGCUUAAACUCGUAACUGCUAGGGUCAUCACUUCCCAAACUUCUCCCACACUUGUUUUGCUGAUGACGGACACAGGGGCCUCACAGACUCAGAAGCAUCUGGAAUCAUUCCGACGGACAGAACUGUGUCAUUAUCCUCUUUCCCCCUGCUAAUCUCUGAGAACAGUGUCUGUAUAUGGCACAGGGGUCCCUAGUGUCAUAUAGAAGGACUUGGAGAUGUCCUCAUGGGCUGUAACGGCCCCCAGUGCUAUUCAGGGAUCUCUGUCCUUUAAAGAAAUAUCAUUUCCCUUUAUUUCUCUACCUUUGUGCCCUCACUUCGCCCUGAAUUGUUUCCUUAAACUGGGCUUUCUAGGAAA